CUUGACCUCAAAUCAGGCGGGACUACCCGCUGAACUUAAGCAUAUCAUA
This 49-nucleotide ribosomal RNA is filed under the name Heterobasidion annosum. RNAcentral's name for it is "partial 28S ribosomal RNA". RNAcentral also lists the same sequence under 1 other name. The record is from RNAcentral. Lineage: Eukaryota; Fungi; Basidiomycota; Agaricomycetes; Russulales; Bondarzewiaceae.